Long non-coding RNA from Zonotrichia leucophrys gambelii, 3131 nucleotides. RefSeq lists it as uncharacterized. NCBI's taxonomy places the organism in Eukaryota, Metazoa, Chordata, Aves, Passeriformes, Passerellidae. The transcript has 4 exons. The record is from RefSeq and is a predicted model, not a curated record.
GGGCGGGGCCGGGGCGGGGGCAGCGGCGCUCCGGCCGCUCCCCUGAGCCGCUCCCGCCGCCGCCCGGAGCAGCCCCGAGCCGCUCAGCCCGGCUGCCUUCAGCGCCGCUCCCCCGAGCGAGGUGCUGCCCUGGACAGGUGUUGCCCGGGCAGCCUCGGCCCUGCAGGAAGCACCUCGCCUGCAAGAGAAGGCUGAGAAAAGUACAAUUGAAGAGCAUGGAGCAUUCUGACGUGUGUAACUCUUUGUAUCAAAGGAAGCCUUACAUGACACAAUUUGGAUGAUGUCUGGACUUAAACCCAUUAUCAGAAAAAGAUAAUGAUGCUGUUGUGAGAGCCAAAUGAAGGGACAACACAUAAUAUCAUACACAAGAAAAUCAGAGGAGAUCUUGAAUGAGCAAAGAGGACGUACAUGAUGGAGUUAUUUACCAGGCUCAGCAUCUCUGUCCGGCUGUGAACAAAGCUGUCAUAGUGGUAAACACUGUCAGAUAGAUUUCCUGCCUCCUUUUUUAAUAUGUGAAAGCAAAAGGUAAGAAGGGUGUACUCAAGGUGUUUUCCUGGCACUGCUACAGUGCCUGGAGGGCAAAGGCUAUUCCUCCUCCCCUGCGCCACCAAGCAAUCCAUGUUCCAGCACCAGAGGGAAGAGCAGGGUAUGAAACAAGCAAAACAGUGUCACACAGAACGUGGAGGAGUGAGUAAAGAGGGCUGCCUUCUGCUUGUGAGGUUUUUAGUAUAUAGUGGAGACUGGUGUGAAACAUAUCUAUGGAAGACAGGUGAGAGGGGAACUUGGUGCUUCUGAGAGGUCCCAUGGCCAAGGAGGUUUUGUGAGAGCUUUUUUUCAGGGAGUUUCAAAACAGGUGAUGAUGAUGUGCAGUACUGGGCCAAUUCCCACCAGAUGCAAAAUAACUUCUGUGUGAGAAUAUACUGGAGCUAUAAGGAACCUCAGCCCCUGCAGUUUACAGCUGUCAAUCUGCUCCUGCUGCUCUGAAUGACUUGCUAAAGUAAGCACAGCCUCUGCUGUCUUAUUCACUGAGCACAGACACAUCAAGUACGUGCAAUACACAAUAAUUUUCCAGGAAAAUAUAUUCCAUAGCACUCUGAAAGUAAAAAUACUCUAUUUAAAUGAGAUUCACAGCAGCAUGUUUUAUUGACUUUGAGAGACAGAUUCAGAAAAAGAGGAUUACCAAGCUGAGACUAAUAGCUACGUUCAACAUACUUAUGCUAGUUUACAUUGUAAACAAGAAUUCCACAGACCCAGCAGAAAAGUACCUGGGGGUGUUGGUUGACAUCCAGAUGAAUGUGAGCCAGCAGUGUUCCCAGGUGGCCAAGAAAGCCAAUGGCAUCCUGGCCUGUAAAAGAAAUAGUGUGGCCAGCAGGAGCAGGGCAGUGAUUGUCCCCCUGUACUCGGCACCUCAAGUUCUGUAUUUAGUCUUUGCCCCCCCACUGCAAGAAAGACAUUGAGGUGCUGGAGCAUGUCCAGAGAAAGGCAACAAAGCUUCUGGAGGGUCUGGAGCAGAACUCCUAUGAGGAGCAGAUGAAGAAGCUGGGAGUUUAGGCUGGAGAAGAGAAGGCUCAGGCAGGACCUUAUUGCUCUCUACAAUCCCCUGAAAGGAGAGUGCAGCCAGGUGGAGGUCAGCCUCUUCUCCCAGGCCCAGCAACAGGGCAAGAGAAAAUGGCCUCAAGCUGCACCAAUGGAGGUUCAGGGUGGACAUCAGGAAGAAUUCUGUCACUGAAAAGGCUGUCAAGCAUUGAUACAAUCUAUUGCUCCUGGUGCUGGAGUCACCAUCCCUGGAAGCGUUUAAGAAAUGACUGGAUGUGGCAGUAAGUGCUAUGGAUUACUUACAUGGUGGUGUUUGGCCACAGGUUGAUCUUGAAGGUCUUUUCCAACAUUAAUGACUCUUACUUAAUGAUCAUUCCAUAUUUAAACAUGCCUUGUUUUAUUGGACAGUGCCACCUAGGGGGUAAUGGCUUUUAAACUAGAGUGGCAAAGGAGAGGGAGCUUUAAUAAUAACAUAGAAAAGAAUUUCUUCCAUUAAAUUCUCUUUUGGAAUAUACUAGGCAGACAAACUGAUGCUGAGAUUUUCAUACAAUGGAAUAUGACAAAAAACUGUAAUUUUUACAGGUCCCUUUGGAGCUGCCCAUACUCUUUUCUCUCUUUCCAUUGAGAGAAAUCUCUUCUGGCAGUGAUUGGGGAUGCCACAAAUCCCGAUUUUCUCCUCUGCUAGCCGGGUCUUGCUGGUAUGAUCAGUGGAGAGGUUAUCUACAUCUCAUUACAGCUGUAAGGCUGGCUAGGAGAUUGCUGCAUUGCUGUGUUUGGGUUUCCAAGGACUUGAAAUAGAGCCUUGAAAAGUUUGCUUUUUGAGGCCAAAAGCAGAGAGAAAACUCUGGUCUACUUCUGCUUAAUCUAGUCUGCUAAAGGAAGGUAGUGUGCAAGGCAGGAAUGAGAUGCUGAGACUACUCUGUCUGACAGCAGAUAGGUUUUAUCCUGACACUUCCCCCACUGUCCUUGAAAGUACAAGUUGGCUCCUUUGGACUUCUAACAAUUUAACCUAGAAAUGGACAAAAUAAACUUAGAAAAAAUGCCCAUCUCUGUACCAUGUUUAUUUUCUUCAGAAUUAGAUUUGUUUUAAAAGCCUGAAUUGUGGUAAUUUCUUUCCUGAAAAACAAAAUUCCAGGACAGGUAAUAUUUUAGGAGUGGGUGUUUUUUUUCCCACACACUUUUUUUAUACUCACAAAUGGUAUUUGAUUUUAUUCUGUAUCUUCCACAGCAGAUGGCGUGCCUGCCUCCCUGAGACCAGAGAUCCCAAGCAGCAUGCAAAUGAUACAAGAAACUCGUAUAACAUAGAAACAAUAGUAUAAUAUAAGAAACAAUUAUGCAAGGAACCUGCUCCUCUUUCCUUAGAGAAAAGUAGUGAUGCUUCCACAAUAUUUUUGAAGGAAAAAUGUCAACAUUUUUGAUAGCAUGACUGUGUGUUUGAAUUGUAACAAAGGGCAGGUCUCUUUCUUUCCUUCAGUAACCUCCACACACAUAAGCAAUUGAGUAUUAAUAAGAAGAGAUUUUAUUUCUUGUAAGUUCCUUUUUAAAAUAAUCCAUUCUAAAAAAAAAAAAGGCCAGCUGAUAAAAGUUGCUUUUCU